AGGGCCAAAUUAACUCUUUUAGAACCAUUAAUAGCAGAUUUUUUACCCGUUGAAGAUUUUUUUUGAGGAUUAUUUAAAGUAGCUUUCCCUUUUUUCUUCAAAUAUCUCUGAUUUUCCUUAAUCAAUUCCUCCUCUGUUGAACUCGCCUCCAGACCUACUAACGAUUGAAAUCAUGAUCCCAUAAUUUUCUCCCCUUUAGAAUUGUUUCUUUUUUUAUCCCAUCCAAGGUUUCGCAUCUGCUCCUCUGCUCCACCAGCAUCCAGACACCAUAAUCCUUAUCUACAGCAACCACAAAAGUUGUAGAGGUUUGUUCCAACAUCUUUCCUUUCUCUUUCACCUCUAAAAAAUGUGUGACAAACGGACAGGCUCCUUGAUGUAUCCAUAACAACCACACUUAAAGCAUACCACAGAGGACUGAUUAUCGUUCUUGAAUGAGUUAAGCGUGUAGAAGUCACCGUUGCUCGUGAAGGUUCCGGAGUGCUUGGGGUGAUUUUAUGUAAAAAAUGACCAGGUGUUUACUCUAAUUGCAUAGAAAACGAUAGUCGACGAAAGCUGAAAAAGCGUUCUGUCAACGCUACACUGGUGUGUGGUCGCCUGUGUGGUAGGCCGUGUGGCAGUAUACGGGAGUGUGACUGACGAACCAGGCCGUGCGCGCGUAACACAGGCGUGAUAGACAUAACCAUGUGAGGACUGGUGAGGCCGUGUGCGAGACACGGGCUCGGCCAUUUGGGCCCUGUGGUCCACACAGACAUGUGGGUCACACAAGCGUGUGAAAAUUCGAGCCAAGCCAUGUGGAAAUUUGGGCCGUGUGGUCCCACACGGGCAGGCCACAUGGGCGUGUGAGCCCAUUUUUCUGCAAUGUUCUGUAAGGUUGCACGGGUCACCCAAGUCGACUGUGACGUGUCGUAGGGUAAUCCCCAACAGUAUAUGGAUCAGUGCAGCGAAGGACUCGAUGGUGGCCACAUACUUUUGGACGAUUUUAAAUUCAAUUUUGGUAUUUCUUUCUUAAUUAUUUCCUGGGUUAAUGUUAAUGUAAUUUGAGGACUUUAUGGACUUUAGUUGGAUAUUUAAAAUGGUUUACGGGAUUUUAGCUUAAAACUCGGUUUUAAAUCAAAUGAAACUAAUUUUUAAA
Molecule: long non-coding RNA, 1132 nt
Organism: Gossypium arboreum
Lineage: Eukaryota; Viridiplantae; Streptophyta; Magnoliopsida; Malvales; Malvaceae
Exons: 4
Source: RefSeq, a predicted model, not a curated record